GCGCGGUUGGUGUAGUGGUCAGCAUGUUCGCUCAGUAAUGGCACUUCGUUCACCACGGUGUUCGUGUCAGUCCCCUUCGGGGCGUUGCCAGGCUGACUGCGAGAGACCCGGGUUCGAAUCCCGGACUGCGCA
This is a non-coding RNA of Copromyces sp. CBS 386.78, 132 nucleotides long. The record is from the annotation of a GenBank genome assembly. Lineage: Eukaryota; Fungi; Ascomycota; Sordariomycetes; Sordariales; Sordariaceae.